Molecule: transfer RNA, 63 nt
Filed under: Nematodirus oiratianus
Lineage: Eukaryota; Metazoa; Nematoda; Chromadorea; Rhabditida; Molineidae
Description: tRNA-Lys
Rfam family: tRNA
About the family: Transfer RNA (tRNA) molecules are approximately 80 nucleotides in length. Their secondary structure includes four short double-helical elements and three loops (D, anti-codon, and T loops).
Source: RNAcentral
AAGGUGUUAACUUAAGUUAAAGUGUUAGAUUUUUAAUCUAAAAAUGUAUGUUUGCACAUCUUA